Molecule: ribosomal RNA, 255 nt
Filed under: uncultured bacterium
Lineage: Bacteria
Description: partial 16S ribosomal RNA
Rfam family: Bacterial small subunit ribosomal RNA
Source: RNAcentral
UACGUAGGUGGCGAGCGUUGUCCGGAUUUACUGGGCGUAAAGAGCGCGCAGGCGGUCGUUCAAGUCGCGUGUGAAAGCCCCCCGGCUCAACUGGGGAGGGUCACGCGAUACUGAUCGACUCGAAGGCAGGAGAGGGUAGUGGAAUUCCCGGUGUAGUGGUGAAAUGCGUAGAUAUCGGGAGGAACACCAGUGGCGAAGGCGACUACCUGGCCUGUUCUUGACGCUGAGGCGCGAAAGCUAGGGGAGCAAACGGGG